Molecule: long non-coding RNA, 406 nt
Organism: Vicia villosa (hairy vetch)
Lineage: Eukaryota; Viridiplantae; Streptophyta; Magnoliopsida; Fabales; Fabaceae
Exons: 3
Source: RefSeq, a predicted model, not a curated record
CGACCCUCCUCUUUCACUUUCUCUCCUCACCUCCUUCAGCCUAAGCUAUUCUUCAUCUUAUUGAAGCUAUAUCUUUGUCUUCCUUCUUCUAUGCAAGGUUACCCAACUCUAAACUUCACUAUUUUAAAUUUUUUUUCUCUUCCUUUUUCCUGUUUAGCAAAGGUUGAAGAACCGAAAUGGACAAAGAGGAGCUAUAAAUCCAAAACUUAUUAAAACUUAUUUUUUGGCCAUUAAUGUGUUUAAAUUUGGAAUUAAUGAUUUCGUUUUCAAUUUGUAUAAUUCAUUAGUGAUUAAAUUUGACAUUAUUGUUUUCGUUUUAGUUCGCCAUUAAUAUUUAUUGGCCAUUAAUAUGUUUGAAUAUUUGGUAUAGUUCAAAAUUCUGGGGAUUUAUUUUUUUUAGAAGGUA